This 523-nucleotide ribosomal RNA is filed under the name uncultured Glomeromycotina. Its description in RNAcentral is "SSU rRNA". It matches the Rfam family "Eukaryotic small subunit ribosomal RNA", at positions 569 to 1092 of the family's 1831-position model. Lineage: Eukaryota; Fungi; Glomeromycota. The record is from RNAcentral.
AGCAGCCGCGAUAAUUCCAGCUCCAAUAGCGUAUAUUAAAGUUGUUGCGGUUAAAAAGCUCGUAGUUGAAUUUCGGAGUUUAUCGGUUGGUCGGGCUUCACUGUCCGCACUGGCCUGAUGGAUUCCUACCUUCUGAAUAACCAGCAUGCUAUUAAUUUAGUGCGUUGGGGAAGCAGAGCUAUUACCUUGAAAAAAUUAGAGUGCUUAAAGCAGGCUUAUGCUUGAAUAGAUUAGCACGGAAUAAUAAAAUAGGACGGCUUGGUUCUAUUUUGUUGGUUUCUAGGAUCACCGUAAUGAUUAAUAGGGAUAGUUGGGGCAUUAGUAUUCAAUUGUCAGAGGUGAAAUUCUUGGAUUUAUUGAAGACUAACUACUGCGAAAGCAUUUGCCAAGGAUGUUUUCAUUAAUCAAGAACGAAAGUUAGGGGAUCGAAGACGAUCAGAUACCGUCGUAGUCUUAACCAUAAACUAUGCCGACUAGGGAUCGGACGAAGUUAAUUUUAUAAUGACGCGUUCGGCACCUUACG